AUUGAACGCUGGCGGCAGGCCUAACACAUGCAAGUCGAGCGGAUGAAGGGAGCUUGCUCCUGGAUUCAGCGGCGGACGGGUGAGUAAUGCCUAGGAAUCUGCCUGGUAGUGGGGGAUAACGUCCGGAAACGGGCGCUAAUACCGCAUACGUCCUGAGGGAGAAAGUGGGGGAUCUUCGGACCUCACGCUAUCAGAUGAGCCUAGGUCGGAUUAGCUAGUUGGUGGGGUAAAGGCCUACCAAGGCGACGAUCCGUAACUGGUCUGAGAGGAUGAUCAAUCACACUGGAACUGAGACACGGUCGAGCAUCCUACGGGAGGCAGCAGUGGGGAAUAUUAGACAAUGGGCGAAAGCCUGAUCCAGCCAUGCCGCGUGUGUGAAGAAGGUCUUCGGAUUGUAAAGCACUUUAAGUUGGGAGGAAGGGCAGUAAGUUAAUACCUUGCUGUUUUGACGUUACCAACAGAAUAAGCACCGGCUAACUUCGUG
RNAcentral lists this ribosomal RNA (484 nucleotides) under uncultured bacterium. RNAcentral describes it as "partial 16S ribosomal RNA". It matches the Rfam family "Bacterial small subunit ribosomal RNA", at positions 30 to 507 of the family's 1533-position model. The record is from RNAcentral.